GGGGUGAUAGCAAUAGGCAGCUAACAAGGCUCAUAACCUUGAGGUUGAGGGUUCGAGUCCCUCCCCCGUAA
Molecule: transfer RNA, 71 nt
Filed under: Crassvirales sp.
Lineage: Duplodnaviria; Heunggongvirae; Uroviricota; Caudoviricetes; Crassvirales
Description: tRNA-Met
Rfam family: tRNA
About the family: Transfer RNA (tRNA) molecules are approximately 80 nucleotides in length. Their secondary structure includes four short double-helical elements and three loops (D, anti-codon, and T loops). Further hydrogen bonds mediate the characteristic L-shaped molecular structure. tRNAs have two regions of fundamental functional importance: the anti-codon, which is responsible for specific mRNA codon recognition, and the 3' end, to which the tRNAs corresponding amino acid is attached (by aminoacyl-tRNA synthetases). tRNAs cope with the degeneracy of the genetic code in two manners: having more than one tRNA (with a specific anti-codon) for a particular amino acid; and 'wobble' base-pairing, i.e. permitting non-standard base-pairing at the 3rd anti-codon position.
Source: RNAcentral